RNAcentral lists this ribosomal RNA (272 nucleotides) under uncultured bacterium. RNAcentral's name for it is "partial 16S ribosomal RNA". It matches the Rfam family "Bacterial small subunit ribosomal RNA", at positions 1228 to 1500 of the family's 1533-position model. The record is from RNAcentral.
CAAUGGCGUAAACAAAGGGAAGCGACCAUGUGAGUGAGAGCAAAUCCCAAAAUAACGUCUCAGUUCGGAUUGUAGUCUGCAACUCGACUACAUGAAGCUGGAAUCGCUAGUAAUCGCGAAUCAGAAUGUCGCGGUGAAUACGUUCCCGGGUCUUGUACACACCGCCCGUCACACCAUGGGAGUCAGUAACGCCCGAAGCCGGUGACCUAACCGAAAGGGAGGAGCCGUCGAAGGUGGGACCGAUAACUGGGGUGAAGUCGUAACAAGGUACC